AGUGAACGCUGGCGGUAGGCCUAACACAUGCAAGUCGAACGGCAGCACAGUAAGAGCUUGCUCUUACGGGUGGCGAGUGGCGGACGGGUGAGGAAUACAUCGGAAUCUACUUUUUCGUGGGGGAUAACGUAGGGAAACUUACGCUAAUACCGCAUACGACCUACGGGUGAAAGCAGGGGAUCUUCGGACCUUGCGCGAUUGAAUGAGCCGAUGUCGGAUUAGCUAGUUGGCGGGGUAAAGGCCCACCAAGGCGACGAUCCGUAGCUGGUCUGAGGGGAUGAUCAGCCACACUGGAACUGAGACACGGUCCAGACUCCUACGGGAGGCAGCAGUGGGGAAUAUUGGACAAUGGGCGCAAGCCUGAUCCAGCCAUACCGCGUGGGUGAAGAAGGCCCUCGGGUUGUAAAGCCCUUUUGUUGGGAAAGAAAAGCAGCAGGUUAAUACCCCGCUGUUCUGACGGUACCCAAAGAAUAAGCACCGGCUAACUUCGUG
This 492-nucleotide ribosomal RNA is filed under the name uncultured bacterium. RNAcentral describes it as "partial 16S ribosomal RNA". It matches the Rfam family "Bacterial small subunit ribosomal RNA", at positions 29 to 507 of the family's 1533-position model. The record is from RNAcentral.